GUCGACUUUCGGGGGCGGGUGGAAUUCCCGCACCGGCGGUGAGCCCGACGGGGGCCGUUCCCCCGCUGGAGAGUCCGCGAACCCCAGCCCGAGGGCCGGGGCCGAGCCGGUGAGAUUCCGGCACCGACGGUAAAAGUCCGGAUGGGAGAAAGGAAAC
RNAcentral lists this non-coding RNA (157 nucleotides) under Rubrobacter radiotolerans. RNAcentral's name for it is "FMN sequence". It matches the Rfam family "FMN riboswitch aptamer (RFN element)". Rfam says of the family: The RFN element is a highly conserved domain that is found frequently in the 5'-untranslated regions of prokaryotic mRNAs that encode for flavin mononucleotide (FMN) biosynthesis and transport proteins. This element is a metabolite-dependent riboswitch that directly binds FMN in the absence of proteins. The record is from Rfam by way of RNAcentral. Lineage: Bacteria; Bacillati; Actinomycetota; Rubrobacteria; Rubrobacterales; Rubrobacteraceae.